Molecule: non-coding RNA, 148 nt
Filed under: Chlorocebus sabaeus (green monkey)
Lineage: Eukaryota; Metazoa; Chordata; Mammalia; Primates; Cercopithecidae
Source: Rfam by way of RNAcentral
GCCAGGUGUGGUGGUGCACAUUUGUAGUCCCAGCUACUCAGGAGGCUGAGGUGGGAGGAUUGCUUGAGCCCAGGAGUUCAAGGCUGCAGUGAGUCAUGAUCGUGCUACUGCACUCUAGCCUGGGUGACUGAGCAAGAUUCUGUCUCUA